GGCCUCGUAGCUCAGUUGGCUUGGGCGUUGGCUGUGCCUUGUCCCUGCUGGCGUGGGUUCGAAUCCCACUGAGGUCA
This 77-nucleotide transfer RNA is filed under the name Schistocephalus solidus. It matches the Rfam family "tRNA". Rfam says of the family: Transfer RNA (tRNA) molecules are approximately 80 nucleotides in length. The record is from Rfam by way of RNAcentral. Lineage: Eukaryota; Metazoa; Platyhelminthes; Cestoda; Diphyllobothriidea; Diphyllobothriidae.